GGAGAAUAUAAUGCUAGUAGAAAAUUAACUGAAAAACUUAUUUUAAUAUAUUUGAAUAUACUUGUCUUUGAAAUUUUAUUUUUUAAUCCAAGACACAUAGAUUUUUGCUUUUUACAUUCAGAACUUUGACAACAUAUACUCAAAAAUAAAAAAGAGGCAAGAAGGGAUGUUGGGAAAAGACCUGGCUUGGAGACUAAAGACCAUCAAUCCUCUUGAAGCUUCCCCUCUUAAUUCUGGAAAUUCUUAGGGAGCUGAUUUCAUCAGCGGGAACUUCAGUCUCCCCAUUGACAAAAUGGGUAUAACCAUGCCUUCUUUUUCUACUCAAAAAAUUUUUAUGAUCCUAAUAUAACUUUUUAAAUGAUAUAAAAAUAUAAAAUACUAUACAUAUUGAAGGAGUUAAAGAAUGAAUCAAAAUAAAGGUGACAGAAAACAAUCUUUUAAUUUCAUUUUAUGUGAUGAUAGUAACUGAAUUAUAUAAUUAGCUAAAAUCUCAAUUUGCACUCUAAUCACUUAAGGAUUUUUAAAAGAAAUGAAUUUUCCUUUAGUUUAAUUAAAAUCCAUCAGCAAAUUAAUUUUAUCAUUGUCAUGCUAAAAGUUAUAUUAGAUUAUUAAAACAGUUUUUAUUGAACAGAGAAAUAUAUUCUUCCAGAAUUUAUUCUCUCCUUUCAUUUAUCUUUCCUCCUAUUUACCCAAAUCUACACGUUCAAGAUGAGCAGAUUAGGUGUACAAAAAUCAUUCUUUCAGAUUUGGGCUGGAAACAAAAAUUGUAGCCACUGAUGUUCUUUGUCUUAAAAUGUAUUAUAUUAAUCCAGUGCAUAACACAUUAGAGACAAUUAAAAGGGCAGUUUAAAUCCUUGAACAGUUGAGGAUUUUUAGAUUGCAAAAGGAUAACAGGUACAUCUAUAAUUUCUGGCAAACUACUCCUCAAAUUCAAAACAGUAAUUGAAAAAUACUCUUUUUCCCACGUUUUGGUGCUGUUUGAUAAUGAGAAUGCAGUGUUUCCCCAGAUGUAACUGAAUAUCAAAAGACAGUUUCACCCUAAAAUAGUUUUCUCUAUCUGAUAAACUUUUAUUUUACAAUUAACCUUGCAUAGAGAAUAAAUCUUAAGGGACCAUGACACAUAGGUCAUUUGAUGUUUUCUCCUAAGAAAAGAUAACCACAUUUUAGAGAUGAUGCCUUCGUGAAGAACUUCUAUUGAAAAAUAACACCAUUUCAAAUAUGAUCAAUUUGAACAUAGCAAGCCAGUUUGGAACAUCAAGACAUCUUACCUAGUUUUCUUCAUUCUGGACACUGAAUGAUCAAUAAAGUCUUCAAAUAAUAGAACUCUGCUCAGACAAUGACAUGUAAUUUGGAAUGUUGUAAUAUAAAGUCAAUCCAAUUAAAUGUUCCCAAGUAUUUUAUUUUUCCCAAACGUAGCAUGUAUAUAUGUCUUUGAUGAAAAAUGUAUUUUUACAGCAUACUCUUUCUUCCCUUCCCAAUUCCCAGCGAUGUUGAAUCAAUUCCACUGAAUGUAGAGAGAACAACGAUAUGAGAAUUGCACCUUUACCAUACACACAGAAAAAGAAUUUUCUAAGAGUGCAGUUAAAAUAAAACAAACAGGGGUUCCUUUGCCUCUGAAGAUUGGUAACUGUAUGUUGACAUGAACACACGUUGACACAGGCUUUAAAAUCCUGUGUGUGGGCUGAGGGGGUCUGCUGAGGGGGGUCCCUUCUCAAAAUAUUUAAACUUGAGCCACUGUACCAAUCCCACAAAGCAAAAAGAAAAAAAGGAGGAGGGGGGGAGGAGGGAAUAAAAAUAAGAAAGAAUUUCACUGAAAAUAUAAAAGGAAUUACCCAUGGGAAGAGAAUACAGCAGAAAGGAUGGGAUGCAGCGAAACAGUGUCAGGAGUGUGUCAGUGAGAACUUCAGAAAGGUUGGAAAUACUCCCCAAAGUAAAAUAUUUGAAUCCCCAGCCACAACCAAAGGAAAACAGACAUUUGCAGGCAUAAUAAAAAUAUAUAACAAAUUGAAGGAAUUCCACUAAAAGUCUUGUGUGAACUAAAACAGCAAAAGACACAGAAAGGAAGAAACCUUGAUGAUGAAAAUUUGGCAAAUCUAAGCAAGUUUAAAGUAGAGUGGCUUUUCUUUCCCCUUAGCUUCUUUGAGGUCAAUGAAAGAUAGGAGAAUGCAAGGUGGCUAAGGGGGAGGAGGAUGUAAAAGGGGGAAAUGAAUGGACAAAUUAGCAGGAUAAUUAAUGCAUGGGAAAGGGGCGGGGAAUACCUGACUUAGAGGAGGAAAAAGAAGCAAGAUAGAGCUAUUUGUUAGUGCCUAAAGGGAGGAAAAAGACAAGAUUAAGAGGCUCUAACUGGUUGUAGAAAGAAGGCUGAAGUGGGUAAAAUGUUACAUGAUGUAAGGUUCAGAGAUGAUGCAGGGAUGUGUGUAGAAAAUGGGGUGAGGUGAAGAUGAAUGUGCUUGAAAGUGGCUGAAGGAGUGGGGGUCUCCCCAGGACAAAGGGAGUUUACUGGAUAGAUGGAAGAUGGGGAAUUUUUCGAAGUCUGGAUGGGGAAAGUGAGAUGAGUAAAAAGAUCUGAGUGGAUACAUGAUGGUGCCUAAAGAGAAAUUUUAUUCCCCAAAGUAGCCUUCUUUUCUUUCUUAGUUAUACUGAUUAGCUUUAGGCCCUAUUCUUUCAUUAGUCCUCUUUUCUGGAUGUUACAUUAUCUUCUUAACAUAUUUGCUUCCAGUCUCUACUGUAAUACAUCAAUGUAUUCAAUUCUUCAUUUAAAUGCAAACAACAAUAAUAUUUCUACUGUGUGCUAUCUAUUGCCCAAUUUUCUCAGGCUAUUUUAUUGUUGUUACUUUAACGAAUUUGCUGGAAAAAAAUAUUCAAAGAUGUUCUAGGUCUACAAAACACACAUAUACCUCUAAACUUUGUAACAAGACACCAAGCCCUCAUGCCCUUCCUUACUUAUUCUGUGCAGGUCAUGACCUUCCAGAUACAUUUCUUGGCUAGCCACUGACUAGGAAUGACUAUUUUUAAAGCCACAGACCUCUCUCUCCUUUAUGAACCUCUUCUCAACCUCUUAACAAAAAUUAAUUCCUCUCUCCAUUAUGUUCAAUUACAUCAUUUAUCACAUCGUAUCCUAGAUCUAUAAGAGUGUCAUGGCUCAAAGAGGCCCAUGCCAUGUUUGUCAUACUCUCUUUUGUAUUCCUAGAGCCUAGCACAUUGUCUGGCACAGUAGGUGACUAAUUAAAGUUUGUGGACUCCUCAGUGAACAAAUACAGGGAUGACACCUCCUUUAAAUUAUGUGAAGCAAGAUUCUUGGAGAGAAUUAGCCUUCAAAAUUUCAUUCCCUGAAUAAUUUUCUUUCCCACUAAGAAAACGUGGCUGCCAUACAUAUUUUUUCAAUGUACCUCAAGGCCAGUGGCUUAUAUAAACUCUCCUUGUCGAUGUGCCUCGCCUUGCUCCACCAAGAAUCUUAUAAAUCCUAGCUAAAGGCUGUUGUGGACUGCUUGCGCAGAGAAAAAGAAUUUUCUGCUUUCUGAAUCUCUUAACCAGAUUGCUUCCCUGCCACCAGCAGUCUGGAAGCUCUCUAUCAAGAAUUUUUAUCUCGCAAAAAAUAAAUAAAUAAAUAAAGUUUUGAAUACCAAGAGAAGGAAGAAUGUGAAACCUGCAAUCCCUUCUGCCAGGCCUUUCAGCUGCUGAAACCCAGCAUUACCUGGACGUCCUUCAGAAUCCAGUCCGGUGACAAAAAGGCCAAGGAGCCAGGGGGAAGGGGCAGGGAGUGGGGGUACACAGUUUAUUUCAACCCUUAGCAAAUGACUGAGCUCUAGAAAAUGAGUGUGUUUUAUGCUUGGUCGGAGUUUCUUUCCCAUUCCUGUAUUUCAGACGCACAGCAACUUUAAGUUUGCUGCCAGCUAUACGUCAUGAAAGGGAAGCUUUUCAUCAAAGGGAAGAAGAAAAGGAAGGGGGAAGAAUCCUACUUUUACAAAACAGAGUAAUUCUUUGCUCCUGCUCCCUUUGCCCACAUCUCUCACCUGCGUCCAAACCAAAACACACAACGGAAUAACCAAAAGGCACCUGGCAAAAAGCUCUAGGCAUUCUAACUCUAAAAGGACUGAUGAAGACGCUUUUCUGACUACAGACAGAAGGACUCCCCGUUACUGAAUGUUUUUAAUGUACCAUCUGCAUUAUAUAAAUUGUCCCAUUAAUCCUCCAAACCAUUCUAAGAGGACAGGUUUUGCCUUAAGUUAUCCAGAUGUUGUGUGGUGAGGUGAAGGAUUCCAACAGUUUUGUUCGUUGAGAAAAGCAGAAUCCUUUUUUUUUUUCAUUAACAAUGAGAAUGAAUUUUCCUAUUCCAUCAAGAUUUCUAUGUGGCCAUCUCUUCAGGACAUAGGUAUCAGCUACUGUUUUAAAUUUAGGAAAUGCACACACAUAUGCAACCAACCACAUAAUGUUUCCAAAGCAAUAUAUUGAGAUUGAUACAAAUACACAUUUUUCAAGAAUCCUGGACUAAUCCCACACUACUCUGAGCCGCCUUUACUUUUUAAGCCUCUUUAUUUCUAUUAUAUGACUGUGAACUAAGUAGAUUUAACUUUUGUAUGCUUUUAAAAUCAGUUAUAUUUUCUGAUAUGUGAUAACAAAUAUACUGUGUAUUUCAUUGAAACGUAUAGGAAAACUGCUCUUUUUUUCCUUUUAAAAUCAAUGCCUAUGGUAUAGUCAACAAAGUAUUUAAUGAGUGGCUAUUUUGAGCCAUUUUUAAUUGGCUGGACUACUGCAGACAUACCAUUUUAAAUGAUUACACAUAUGUCUAGAGAAUCAGCAUAGGAUUUUUGUUUUCCCUUUGAGAUUGAACAAUUUUUAUUUCAUCAUUACUAAAACUUAGCUGACAAUUUUUAUUUUUUCAUUACUAAAACUUAGCUGGAUGUCAGUUUCUGCCUUUAAAUAAAAUAUCCAAAUCCAGGAUUAUUCUCAAUUGCAAAAAUGCAGCUGGUCUCAACUAUUCCUUUUAUAUUUUCUUUCACAUAGGGUAGAAAAUGGUGAAUCAUUGUACUUUCAUAUAAUAAAAAGAUGUCUUGAAUUUUAAAUGUAAUUGUCCUUUCUUGAGUAACUUCUAAAUGAAGUGAAACCACAAAGGCAGUUUGGCACACUAUUGAUUCUAUCCUGGUUAUCUUUUUUGUCAGGCUAGAAUGUGAAGGGAAAGGGUUUGGAGCACAGAAUGGUUUUCCUUUUAAAGAAAAAAAAUUGAAUGAAAAAUUGGCAAUGAAAAUAAAAUACUGGACCUAGAUUCCCCAACUCUGUGAAUGUUGUUAUUAUUAGCCUCCACCUUCUCUAGCCCUGUUGCUGGAGCCAGACGCAC
RNAcentral lists this long non-coding RNA (5335 nucleotides) under Homo sapiens (human). RNAcentral's name for it is "HSALNT0287936". The record is from RNAcentral. Lineage: Eukaryota; Metazoa; Chordata; Mammalia; Primates; Hominidae.